CUAUAUAAAAAGAACUAUUUUUAAGGUUUCUGAGAUAGGACACGUCAGCUAAAAUAUUCCCAACCUAUUAAAUCGACAGCUUAGCAUCAUAUUUACCCGCCACCCUUCUUUUCAUUUACGACACUAAAAUGAAUUGGGCGGAGCCUUUAUAUUAUAAUUGAGGUUCUGUUUUGCAGGCCCAUAAUCAAGCCAUAAUUACAUGUAAAGUCAACAAUAACUGUACAACGACUCAUGGACUUCAUCUUCUUUUUCCUAUCUAAAACUUCCCUGCCAUUUACACCUUCUC
This 286-nucleotide long non-coding RNA is filed under the name Brassica napus (rape). RNAcentral describes it as "long non-coding RNA (BNAP_LNC026853)". The record is from RNAcentral. Lineage: Eukaryota; Viridiplantae; Streptophyta; Magnoliopsida; Brassicales; Brassicaceae.